UACGGGGGGGGCAAGCGUUGUUCGGAAUUACUGGGCGUAAAGGGCUUGUAGGCGGCCAACUAAGUCCGACGUGAAAUCCCCAGGCUUAACCUGGGAACUGCGUCGGAUACUGGAUGGCUUGAAUCCGGGAGAGGGAUGCGGAAUUCCAGGUGUAGCGGUGAAAUGCGUAGAUAUCUGGAGGAACACCGGUGGCGAAGGCGGCAUCCUGGACCGGCAUUGACGCUGAAAAGCGAAAGCUAGGGGAGCAAACGGG
This 253-nucleotide ribosomal RNA is filed under the name uncultured bacterium. RNAcentral describes it as "partial 16S ribosomal RNA". It matches the Rfam family "Bacterial small subunit ribosomal RNA", at positions 524 to 776 of the family's 1533-position model. The record is from RNAcentral.